Molecule: ribosomal RNA, 403 nt
Filed under: uncultured bacterium
Lineage: Bacteria
Description: partial 16S ribosomal RNA
Rfam family: Bacterial small subunit ribosomal RNA
Source: RNAcentral
AUUGAACGCUGGCGGCAGGCCUAACACAUGCAAGUCGGGCGAGCGGCGGACGGGUGAGUAAUGUAUGGGGACUGCCUGAUGGAGGGGGAUAACUACUGGAAACGGUAGCUAAUACCGCAUACCAUCAGAUAACCCAUAGGGGAUUAGCUAGUAGGAGAGGUAACGGGGCACCAAGGCGACGAUCCCUAGCUGGUGUGAUAGGAUGAUCAGCCGCACAGGUACUGAGACAGGGCGCAGACUCCUACGGAGUCCGAAGUGGGGAAUAUUGCACAAUGGGCGCAAGCCUGAUGCAGCCAUGCCGGGUGUAUGAAGAGGGCUUUGGGUUUGUAAAGUACUUUCAGUCGGGAGGCGUUACCGACAGAAGCAGCACCAGCUAAACCCGUGACAGCAGCCGCGGUAAUUG